GGCUAGGACGAACGCUGGCGGCGUGCCUAAUACAUGCAAGUCGAACGGCUUUCUAUGGAAGCUUGCUUCCACUGAGAAGAUAGUGGCGAACGGGUGAGUAACACGUGGGUAACCUGCCCAGUAAGAGGGGGGAUAACAUCCGGAAACGGGUGCUAAUACCGCAUAGUUUCUUGAUCGCAUGAUCGGGAAAGGAAAGACGGCCUUUGUGCUGUCGCUUAUGGAUGGACCCGCGGCGUAUUAGUUAGUUGGUGAGGUAACGGCUCACCAAGACGAUGAUACGUAGCCGACCUGAGAGGGUGAUCGGCCACAUUGGGACUGAGACACGGCCCAAACUCCUACGGGAGGCAGCAGUAGGGAAUCUUCCGCAAUGGACGAAAGUCUGACGGAGCAAACCGCCGCGUGAACGAAGAAGGCCGUGAGGUUGUAAAGUUCUUUUCGGGAGGGGGAACAACCGUGGCAGGGAAUGGCCGCGGGAUGACGUGAAUCCCGGAAUAAGCCCCGGCUAACUACGUGCCAGCCGCCGC
Molecule: ribosomal RNA, 524 nt
Filed under: uncultured bacterium
Lineage: Bacteria
Description: bacterial SSU rRNA
Rfam family: Bacterial small subunit ribosomal RNA
Source: RNAcentral